This 484-nucleotide ribosomal RNA is filed under the name uncultured bacterium. RNAcentral describes it as "partial 16S ribosomal RNA". It matches the Rfam family "Bacterial small subunit ribosomal RNA", at positions 30 to 507 of the family's 1533-position model. The record is from RNAcentral.
AUUGAACGCUGGCGGCAGGCCUAACACAUGCAAGUCGAGCGGAUGAAGGGAGCUUGCUCCUGGAUUCAGCGGCGGACGGGUGAGUAAUGCCUAGGAAUCUGCCUGGUAGUGGGGGAUAACGUCCGGAAACGGGCGCUAAUACCGCAUACGUCCUGAGGGAGAAAGUGGGGGAUCUUCGGACCUCACGCUAUCAGAUGAGCCUAGGUCGGAUUAGCUAGUUGGUGGGGUAAAGGCCUACCAAGGCGACGAUCCGUAACUGGUCUGAGAGGAUGAUCAGUCACACUGGAACUGAGACACGGUCCAGACUCCUACGGGAGGCAGCAGUGGGGAAUAUUGGACAAUGGGCGAAAGCCUGAUCCAGCCAUGCCGCGUGUGUGAAGAAGGUCUUCGGAUUGUAAAGCACUUUAAGUUGGGGUGAAGGGCAGUAAGUUAAUACCUUGCUGUUUUGACGUUACCAACAGAAUAAGCACCGGCUAACUUCGUG